ACAGCGCAAUGGAUAGCACGUUGAACUUCUAACCCAAAGAUCGUGGGCUCGAAUCCCACGUGAGAUG
Molecule: non-coding RNA, 67 nt
Organism: Trichonephila clavata
Lineage: Eukaryota; Metazoa; Arthropoda; Arachnida; Araneae; Nephilidae
Source: the annotation of a GenBank genome assembly